Molecule: transfer RNA, 71 nt
Filed under: Plantactinospora sp. CNZ320
Lineage: Bacteria; Bacillati; Actinomycetota; Actinomycetes; Micromonosporales; Micromonosporaceae
Description: tRNA-Gln
Rfam family: tRNA
About the family: Transfer RNA (tRNA) molecules are approximately 80 nucleotides in length. Their secondary structure includes four short double-helical elements and three loops (D, anti-codon, and T loops). Further hydrogen bonds mediate the characteristic L-shaped molecular structure. tRNAs have two regions of fundamental functional importance: the anti-codon, which is responsible for specific mRNA codon recognition, and the 3' end, to which the tRNAs corresponding amino acid is attached (by aminoacyl-tRNA synthetases). tRNAs cope with the degeneracy of the genetic code in two manners: having more than one tRNA (with a specific anti-codon) for a particular amino acid; and 'wobble' base-pairing, i.e. permitting non-standard base-pairing at the 3rd anti-codon position.
Source: RNAcentral
UCCCGGAUCGUCCAACGGCAGGACUCCUGAUUCUGGAUCAGGCGAUCGAGGUUCGAAUCCUUGUCCGGGAG